UUUUCUUUUCUUUUCUCUCAUAUACUCCUCUGUAUCACUUGCUCAUCCUCUCCCACCGGUACCUCCAUACCACCAUCUCUACCAUCAUUUUUCCUGCAAUGUCACUAGAAAAUCCUUAAGAACCUCUAAGCAUUUUACUCUUUUAUUUGAGGUUUGCUUGAUAUUGUUGAGAUUCUAGCUAAUCUCCUUUGGAGCUUGGAGAAUUAGGCUUUUUGCGGUUGCAAGGUAAGUAGCUUUUUAAUGGGAAUUUGAAAAAUAACCAUGUUGUAUAAAUGUUAUUUUUGGGUUAGACUCGCUUUUGGAAACUACUUAUGGAAACUAUAUUUUCCUAAAAACUAUUGUGUCAUAAUCUUAAUAUAUAUAUAUAUAUAUAUAUAUGAAAAUGCAUCAUAUUUGAUAUUGCACAUGGGGAAAUGCAUGAAUUGUCGAUAUGGAAAAAUGAGCAUCUUUUAUUUAAUCUUUGAUAGGGAAAUUAUGGAUUUUAUGGUAUAUUAGAAAAUUUAAAGAUGCUUAUCUUGUCUUGUUAUGAGGGAAAUUGAUAGAAGAUCUUCUUGACUAGAAUGAAGUUGAAAACCUUACAAACUUUGUAGAAGUUAGAUUAUUUAAGGUUUUUUUGAAACUUCCUAGAUAUGAACUAUAUGUUUCAAAGUAAUGUAACCUAUGAGCUUAUGUGGUUUUAACACCAUGCCAUGUGUGAUUUCUCGAUUUGAUUUCUGUAGUCUUUGUGACAAUGGAAUCAAAUCUAAAUCAGUGCCCUUUCACUUUGGAUGAUACGUUCUUCCCUGUUGCCCAUAGGGGGAAGAGGUUCCUUGAUUGUAUGUGGGUGAGGUUGUUACCCAAGGGGCCAAGAGACCACAUUUACAAAGGUCCUAUUUGAUGCACUCUCUCGGUAGCCCAUGGGGGGAGAGAAAAACCUUGAGGGUAUGGGUGGGGCCGCUGUCUAUAAGGCCAAGAGUCUGCAUACCAAAGAGGAUAAUAUAAUGCCAGUUGUGAAUGGGUGGAUCCCCUGACCGGUCUAUGUGGUAGUGUGGUAUAUUUGUGAUAAAUUACUAUAUGUUGGAUUUUAUGGCUUUGGAAUUAUAUUGUUAGUGCUCAGAGAUUAUAAUAUAUAGUUUCAUGGUAUUAUUUUGAGAAACUUUGUGUUUCAUCAUUUAAUCAUUCUUGUUAUAUUAUUAUUGAAAAUGAUCUUGCAGUAUUCAGUUAGCAAUUUCCCAAACUAAAACAUAUUUUGUAAAUUGUUCAUUAUCAUGAAACUUGUAUUUAUGCUACUUACUGGGAGUUAGCUCAUCCUACCCUCUAACAGUUUUUCAAAUUUAUUAGCUAUACCUUAGGUAUGGAGCUUACUUCUUUGGUGAGAAUUAGAGUGCUAUGUUAAAUUUGGAUAUUUUUGCUAUAAAUGGUUGGUGACUUGAUCUUGCUAUGUUCAACGAGACCUUAAUUAAUCCUAUUGGAGGUGGAUCGCUUGAGGUUUGUUAGCCCUUGGCGUGGUAGGCCUAGGCUCGAUGUUAAGGUCCUUAUUCUCGAUAAGAUUGUGACUGUGUAAUUUAAUCAAAUUUUUGUAAUAUAUUCAUGUAUUAUGUGGGGGCACAUGAUUUUUAGUUAUUGUUCGUAUAUGUGUUAUAGAGCUCUGACUUGUAAUGUGGCAAUUUUAGCAUGGUUGUAUAUUCAUAUCCUUUGGAAAAGAAAGGAAAAUAAAGAUCUUCUAUAGUUUGAUUUGCCAAGAAGGAAAAAAUCUACAGGUACCAUUGGGAUGUUUUUCUCAUACUUUGGACCCUUUUGGGUUUGGGGUGUGACACUAAUAGCUUGAGUUUUACAUUAAAAUUUUAUUGGAAGGAAGAAUGACCUAUUUGUAGAAGUCGGAGUUUGUUAUGGCAAGCUUAUAAUGAUUCUAUUCCAAUUAGGCUCUAAUGCUUUGGGCGUGCAAAACAAUUGGACUUCUCACACUGUAAAUGCCAUCAGACCACACUAGUGAUGCGGAUAGCCUUGAGUUAACUGGCACACUACCACUGACAGAUACAACAAAAGAUUUCUUCUCAAGUACGGCCUUGAAUUCUAAGCAUAAGGAGGACACUUCUGCCACCUACCCUAUCUUACUUGACGAACCCGAGUUGGAGGCUGACCUCGAGCCCCUUUUUGUUUAUAACCCCAUGAGUGAGAAGGUUACUGUUGCCAUGGGCACACCCAUGGAGGGUUUCUUUGAUGGGGCGGACAUUAUGGUUAAGGCCAUGUCCUCUGCUUCUGCUACUACACAGGGAGCUCUUGCCGAUGCCUUGAUUCCUUCUCCCAAACCUAGUCCUGUUGAGCAAAGUGCCUAGACCGAGAAGGUUGGUGAGUUUGCUCCUAUUCCAGCCAAAACUCCCACUCCUUAGAAAGGAUUCACUCUUGCUGGUGCACCUUAGACUGGGAGUGCUUCUCCUGCUACUCCUCUUGUCAUCUCUACUAGUAAUCCCUUCGCUGUCCUCUCUCAGGUCGUAAAGGAUGGCUCCUCCGUGGUGGUCACUCCUUCAUCUAUUCCCAGUUCUGCCACUCAUGGGCUUUAUGUAGAUUCGUCUUCUAAUGAGGUAUUUGAGGAGGUUCUUGAGGAUUCUAAGGACGAGCUUGUCAUGAAGAAGAGGGUCUCUACUUCUGACGAGCAUGAUGGUGGUGAAUGUGAGACUGAGGCCACAGCCAUAGAUAUUCCUGAAGAGCCUAAGACUGUGACAGACACUGUGAUGCCUACAACCCCCACUUUUGCCACACCUGUAGCCCCCACUCCUACAUGUCUAGUUCUUGCUAGAUCACCUGCGAGAGAUUGAUUGAGCCUUUUUUACGAAGAAGGUUCAACCUGCAGUGGACACCAUAGAUGCUCUUAUCGAGAUUUUGAAGGAGGUGACAGACUUGGAGGCACGUCACGAGCGCCUUCUUUCUGGUGUUGCUGGCCCUAGUCACUUUGGAGACCAGACCCUCAUUUUAGGCCUUUCAUGAGACUUAUUACGUUGUGUAGUUCCCUGUUUAUUUCCUUCCCCUAUGUUCAUCUUCUUCCCCUUUUCAUCCUACCCAGCACACUUCCUUGUUUUCUCUUGCACUUAUUUGAUAAGUCUGACAUAACUUAUAUAUUUUGGCUUUGUAGUCUAUUAUGCUACAUCUACUAUGGUUAUUACUAUGAUUAUGAUACACUAUGUUUUUGCUAAUACUACAUAGUUUUCAUUA
Molecule: RNA transcript, 3189 nt
Organism: Quercus robur (English oak)
Lineage: Eukaryota; Viridiplantae; Streptophyta; Magnoliopsida; Fagales; Fagaceae
Exons: 6
Source: RefSeq, a predicted model, not a curated record